UCUGCCCACUGAUAUAAAUUAAAGGGCUGCAGUAUUUUGACUGUACAAAGGUAGCAUAAUCAAUAGUUUUUUAAUUGAAAACUUGAAUGAAAGAUUUGAUGAAAUAUAGACUGUCUCAUAUUUAUUAUUAAAAAUUUAUUUUUUAGUUAAAAAGCUAAAAUAAUUUUAAAAGACGAGAAGACCCUAUAGAGUUUUAUAUUUAUAUUUAUUAAAAAUUUAUAUGAAAAUUAUUAAAAAAAAAAAUAAAUUAAAAUAUUAUGUUGGGGUGACAAAAAAAUAAAAUUAACUUUUUUAUAUAAAUUUAUACUAAUAAGUAAAUAAUUGAUCCAUAAAUAAUGAUUAAAAGAAAAAAUUACCUUAGGGAUAACAGCGUAAUAUUUUUUUUUAGUACAUAUAAAAAAAAAAGAUUGCGACCUCGAUGUUGGAUUAAGAUAAAAUUUAAAUGCAAAAGUUUAAAAUUU
RNAcentral lists this ribosomal RNA (461 nucleotides) under Ypthima iris. RNAcentral's name for it is "partial 16S ribosomal RNA". Lineage: Eukaryota; Metazoa; Arthropoda; Insecta; Lepidoptera; Nymphalidae. The record is from RNAcentral.